This is a long non-coding RNA of Solanum tuberosum (potato), 889 nucleotides long. RefSeq lists it as uncharacterized. NCBI's taxonomy places the organism in Eukaryota, Viridiplantae, Streptophyta, Magnoliopsida, Solanales, Solanaceae. The record is from RefSeq and is a predicted model, not a curated record. The transcript is spliced from 2 exons.
UUAUAUAUAGAAGUGAACGUUCUCUUAUGAAAAGGACAUAGAAUUAAAAAUAAAUUUUUAAAGGACCGGAGAACAAAAUCUUCCGUUUUCUUCGAUGUGCUGCUUAUCUGAGUAAACAAUUUGUACAUGUGAGACCAAUUAAGGUAAUACAAUAUUCUUUAUGACUAGUAAACAUACUAAUUAAUGUAUUCUAGAUUUCAUUAGUGAGGAGGACUAGAGAUUUAUUUCCUUGUGAUUUCCUAUUAAAAGGAGUAUAUUUUUCAAUCUUAAUUAUUCCAGGUGGUCAUAUUUGAUUUUGACCAAUAUAAUCGAAGCAUCGUUUUAUCCAUUUCAGCAGCAAUCCAUGUACAAAUUAAAAGUUGCGUUCAAUAUUCAAAUUGUUUUAUCCGCUUUAUUAUAUGCUUGUAUCCAUUUAUGUCUUUUACUGACAUUCUUCUUUCUCUUUUCCCAAUAAAAAUAAUGGAAUCAUUUACAGAUUCGUUUUCUUAUUUCUAUGCACGGGAGGGGGAAGACUGAAAGACAAAAAAGAAGAAGCAAUGAGUGCCACAGACUCACAGGGCCCAAGUAAUCCCAAAAGGCCAAAACUUAAAGAGGCAAAAGGACAUGACAAAGCAGAAGCAAGUUCAUUCUUCCCAUGCUGACAUUUCUUUUUGACAUUUUGAAUCAAACAUUGAUUAGCACUACAAAAAAUACCAACUAAUUUCAGGGGGGCGUUUGAUGGUGGAGAUGGGGGAUACAAUGGGUGGAGGUGAAGAUGAGGUGCCUUAGAGGAUGGGGAAGACACAAUCAAUGUAAACAUGUUUUUCCUACUUCAAAUAAGGGAGUCAUUUUCCUAAUUGUUAAGCAACUUCUUUUUUUUCCUGAAAAUUCUUUUUCUCCAUACCGAACA